CGGGGUGCACCAGGCGUGAAAACUUUACAAUGCGGGAAACCGCGAUAAGGGGACCCCGAGUGCCAGCACUUAGUGCUGGCUGUCCAGCUGUUCAAAUAACAGUUGUUAGCAAGGGCCGGGCAAGACCGGUUCCAGCCGCCGCGGUAACACCGGCGGCCCGAGUGGUAGCCGUUAUUAUUGGGUUUAAAGGGUCCGUAGCCGGCCUAUUAAGUCUCUUGGGAAAUCUGGCGAGUCAAUCGUCAGGUGUCCCAGAGAUACUGGUAGGCUUGGGACCGGGAGAGGUGGGAGGUACUCCAGGGGUAGGGGUGGAAUCUCGUAAUCCUUGGGGGACCUCCGAUGGCGAAGGCAUCCCACCAGAACGGGUCCGACGGUGAGGGACGAAAGCUGGGGGCACGAACCGGAUUAGAUACCCGGGUAGUCCCAGCCGUUAACGAUGCUCCCUAGGUGUCAGGUGCGGUGCGACCGCAUCUGGUGCCGCAGUGAAAACUUGAAGCGAGUCACCUGGGAAGUACGGUCGCAAGGCUGAAACUUAAAGGAAUCGGCGGGGAGCAC
Molecule: ribosomal RNA, 552 nt
Filed under: uncultured archaeon
Lineage: Archaea
Description: bacterial SSU rRNA
Rfam family: Archaeal small subunit ribosomal RNA
Source: RNAcentral